AUGAGGCCCACUGUGAGAAUUUGGGAAUCCAGGACCCUGCAGGGGUCUGCAGCUAAGAGAAGAACCUGCUGUCCUGGCGCAGGAGCACAGGCGCUGGUCAGCCUUGGGGAGCUCAGAUUCCACCCAGAACGGGCAGGGGAGGGGCACUGGGCUGAAGCCCCAUUCAGAGCUCUGUCAUUCCCACUCAGAAAGCCCAGGGCCGUGCCAGGCCAAGUGCUAAGAAGCCAAUAUCCAUGGCUGGAGCUAGAGGACAUGGGCAGUGCCCAAGAUCACUGGCACAGGCACAGCUGGCCAUGCAAGGCAAGGCGUCUGCUGACAUCUGGAAGCCCUCCAACUGCAACAGGCCUCCUCUGGGGACCUGGGCAUCUGUCCCUCAGAGAGGUGAGAAAAUCUCUGCCUGGGCCCAGGGAUGCCACUUUGCCCAAGAGGCAGCAAGGCGGGGCAUCUAUCUUCAGACCACAUGGCCCACCCAUCUGGACACCCAGCAAAUGCCAGCUCCGGGGCUGGGUCACAGACCCACAUGGCCACAUGUCCCUGGCAUGGCGCAGGAGGCUGGCACAGACACUACUGGAGCUAACCCAGGAUGGAAUGAGAGCCAGCAAGUCCUGGACAAGAAGCUUCCAGAGGGCAGAGACUGCCUGCAUGUGGCUCACCUCGGAGCCUGGGACCCUCCCCCAAGGCCUGGCACAGAGCAGCCCCUGGUCAAUAUUAGCUGACUCAAACUGCAUGGGAAGCAGCCCCCCAGCGGUCCACAGGCUGGCCAGGGGGAGUCCAGCCUCCCUAUCCUUUAUCCUCUCCGACCAGACUUUGCCGUCUUGGGGAAGCGGCACAGCCAGACCCAGCAUGGGAGGAGAAGCCAGGGCACCAAGGCAGGUCAGACAGUGGAGACACAGCACCCCCCACCAGGCCUCCAGCAUUUUCCUAAGAGCAGGAUCGAAGCCGCAGAGGAUCCCAGUUCUCCGAGGGAAGUGGCCAGUAGCCCGUGCAAAUCAUUUCUACAGAGGAAAACACAACUCUCACCAGGGAUUUCUCACCCUGGAAGCAAAACCAAGGUUCAUUGUAAAGAAUGCCUGA
RNAcentral lists this long non-coding RNA (1074 nucleotides) under Macaca fascicularis (crab-eating macaque). Its description in RNAcentral is "lncRNA (ENSMFAG00000052893.1)". Lineage: Eukaryota; Metazoa; Chordata; Mammalia; Primates; Cercopithecidae. The record is from RNAcentral.